AUUGAACGCUGGCGGCAUGCUUUACACAUGCAAGUCGAACGGCAGCGCGGGGCAACCUGGCGGCGAGUGGCGAACGGGUGAGUAAUAUAUCGGAACGUACCCAAGAGUGGGGGAUAACGUAGCGAAAGUUACGCUAAUACCGCAUACGAUCUAUGGAUGAAAGUGGGGGAUCGCAAGACCUCAUGCUCCUGGAGCGGCCGAUAUCUGAUUAGCUAGUUGGUAGGGUAAAGGCCUACCAAGGCUACGAUCAGUAGCUGGUCUGAGAGGACGACCAGCCACACUGGAACUGAGACACGGUCCAGACUCCUACGGGAGGCAGCAGUGGGGAAUUUUGGACAAUGGGCGCAAGCCUGAUCCAGCAAUGCCGCGUGAGUGAAGAAGGCCUUCGGGUUGUAAAGCUCUUUUGUCAGGGAAGAAACGGUGGGAGCUAAUAUCUCCUACUAAUGACGGUACCUGAAGAAUAAGCACCGGCUAACUACGUGCCAGCAGCCGCGGUAAUACGUAGGGUGCAAGCGUUAAUCGGAAUUACGGGGCGUAAAGCCGGGCGCAGCGGUUUUGUAAGUCUGUCGUGAAAGCCCCGGGCCUCAACCUGGGAAUUGCGAUGGAGACUGCAAGGCUUGAAUCUGGCAGAGGGGGGUAGAAUUCCACGUGUAGCAGUGAAAUGCGUAGAGAUGUGGAGGAACACCGAUGGCGAAGGCAGCCCCCUGGGUCAAGAUUGACGCUCAUGCACGAAAGCGUGGGGAGCAAACAGGAUUAGAUACCCUGGUAGUCCACGCCCUAAACGAUGUCUACUAGUUGUCGGGUUUUAAUUAACUUGGUAACGCAGCUAACGCGUGAAGUAGACCGCCUGGGGAGUACGGUCGCAAGAUUAAAACUCAAAGGAAUUGACGGGGACCCGCACAAGCGGUGGAUGAUGUGGAUUAAUUCGAUGCAACGCGAAAAACCUUACCUACCCUUGACAUGUACGGAAGUCACGAGAGAUCGAGAUGUGCUCGAAAGAGAACCGUAACACAGGUGCUGCAUGGCUGUCGUCAGCUCGUGUCGUGAGAUGUUGGGUUAAGUCCUGCAACGAGCGCAACCCUUGUCAUUAGUUGCUACAUUCAGUUGAGCACUCUAAUGAGACUGCCGGUGACAAACCGGAGGAAGGUGGGGAUGACGUCAAGUCCUCAUGGCCCUUAUGGGUAGGGCUUCACACGUCAUACAAUGGUACAUACAGAGGGCCGCCAACCCGCGAGGGGGAGCUAAUCCCAGAAAGUGUAUCGUAGUCCGGAUCGCAGUCUGCAACUCGACUGCGUGAAGUUGGAAUCGCUAGUAAUCGCGGAUCAGCAUGUCGCGGUGAAUACGUUCCCGGGUCU
RNAcentral lists this ribosomal RNA (1355 nucleotides) under uncultured bacterium. RNAcentral's name for it is "bacterial SSU rRNA". It matches the Rfam family "Bacterial small subunit ribosomal RNA", at positions 28 to 1381 of the family's 1533-position model. The record is from RNAcentral.